RNAcentral lists this small RNA (1009 nucleotides) under Drosophila mojavensis. RNAcentral describes it as "GI26269". The record is from RNAcentral. Lineage: Eukaryota; Metazoa; Arthropoda; Insecta; Diptera; Drosophilidae.
UUUAUUCUUUUUUUUUUUUUUUUUGGAAUUUUCUCAAAAUUUAAAAUAAAAUUUUUGUCUACGCGUAUUCGUGAAAAAGAGCUUAAAUAUAAUGUCGGAUGUCUGGUCCUAGAUGGGAAUACGGAAGUUUCUGUAUUUCUCAUCUGAACAGAAAACUUGCUGUUACUGAAUAAUGCGCCUAUGCUUCUGGGCGUGCGCUUGACCAUCUCGAUUGCCUGGAGCAUCUGGAUUGGACUGAAAUGCAGCUGCUGCAGCAAUCAACAGGUCAAUAGCAAAUUAAAUAAACACAUACAUAGCUAAACGAUAAACGAAAAGCGAUUUUCAUCAACAACAACAACAACAACAACAAUUGUUGCCCACUAUCAAUAUCGACAAUUUGAAGAAAAGAAACGAGCGCCAAACACGAAAUAUGUUGAAGGGACAUCAAAUGCUGAAGCUAAUGCUGAUGCUGGGCUGCUGCUCAUUGGCCAUGGCCAAGCCGCCGGCUGCCGCUGCAGCCAAGCAGGAAGCCAGCAGCCAGCCAAAAGUGGGCGACAGCGAAAGUGACACCUCGAUCAAGAGUCGACCUGGCCGCGGCCUUUCGCUUUGAGAAUUGUGGUGCAUAAAGUCAUCAACGGCAAAAACAACAGCGAAACGAGCCAUAGCAUUAGCUUGAACCGGUUGCAGGGUGAGCGAAAGAGACAGAUAGAGAGGGACGAGACCGAGCGAACGGGGGGCAGCUGAUGGCUUUGAUUUGUGGCAUCGCUUUCACUUUGGCAGCUGCUGCUGCUGUUGCCACUCUCGUUGCCAUGUCUCUUUUGUAGCUUGUUAUGGGCGUCGCGUGGGCGUGGCAAGCCUCAAAUUUUUGCCCCGCUUCAUGGUGAUUUCGGCCAAGAGCAAGCCAGCUCAGCUCAGUUCAAGUCACCUCAGCUCAGCUUUACAGUUGUAAUUGAAUCGCAUAUCGUUGCACACCGAACUUGAACACACAAUUAAAAUGAAAACGAAAAAGAAAAUAAAAAAAAAAAAAAAA